UACGUAGGGGGCAAGCGUUGUCCGGAAUCAUUGGGCGUAAAGAGCGUGUAGGCGGCUUGGUAAGUCCGCUGUGAAAGUCCAGGGCUCAACCCUGGAAAGCCGGUGGAAACUGUCAAGCUUGAGUCCGGAAGAGGCGAGUGGAAUUCCUGGUGUAGCGGUGAAAUGCGUAGAGAUCAGGAAGAACACCCGUGGCGAAGGCGGCCCACUGGGCCGGUACUGACGCUGAGGCACGAAGGCGUGGGGAGCGAACGGG
RNAcentral lists this ribosomal RNA (253 nucleotides) under uncultured bacterium. Its description in RNAcentral is "partial 16S ribosomal RNA". It matches the Rfam family "Bacterial small subunit ribosomal RNA", at positions 524 to 776 of the family's 1533-position model. The record is from RNAcentral.